AUCCAUCUUUCUCUGGGUUUACCACGAGGUCUCUCCUCUUUGUCCUUUAAUACAAAAAAAAAAAAAAAAAUGACGGACAUACUUCGCACGAUGUUAGUAGGCACGUGGGCACGAUGGCCACUGUUAUAGGUGAGAAGUUGGGAAGGUAGGAUUUAGAGGGGUUUAGAUUAAUUUAAUGUGCAUCUGUACGAAAUCAUUGCUAAAGAAAAACGAUUAUGAGCAGAGUUGGGUAACACAUGUUUUGAUAAAGUUAUAAUAUUUACGAUUAA
Cinara cedri is the source of this 269-nucleotide non-coding RNA. The record is from the annotation of a GenBank genome assembly. NCBI's taxonomy places the organism in Eukaryota, Metazoa, Arthropoda, Insecta, Hemiptera, Aphididae.